Molecule: long non-coding RNA, 1280 nt
Organism: Panthera uncia (snow leopard)
Lineage: Eukaryota; Metazoa; Chordata; Mammalia; Carnivora; Felidae
Exons: 2
Source: RefSeq, a predicted model, not a curated record
GCGAGCACAAGUGGGGGAGGGGCAGAGAGAGAGAGAGAGAGAGAGAGAGAAAGACAGAAUCCAAAGCAGGCUCUAGACUCUGAGCUGUCAGCACAGACCCCGAUGUGGGGCUCAAACUCAGGAACCUCGAGAUCAUGACCUGAGCUAAGUCGGAUGCUUAACCGACCGGGCCACCCAGGCGCCCCAGGAGUUGCUUUUUUUUUUAUGUUUUGUUUUGCUUUGUUUCAGUGAAAUGGGAAUGUCCUGAGCUAAGAUGUUCCACCAGCCCAGAAGAAGCCCUUACAAUGAGAAUGCCUUUUAGAGAGGACUCAGAAAAGAUGAACUAAGAAUCCCUGGUGAGGGGCUCGGGUAGAAGUGGUGAGCUCCACCCUGGUUUCAGAUUUAGAGAUUAGUGUCACCGGCGCUUCCUCCAGGCUGUCUCCUGGCUAGCUCCCUUCAGCUGAACAGUUGAGGGUGGCUGUUGGGCUUUUGUUCGCAAGGAAUAAGGAAAAAAAGACUACCCAGACAAGACCAAAGUUUGCUUCCUCCUCCUCCAUAUGAAUUCGUUGGAAUGAAGGCCAGCCCUGAUUCGGCUGAAGAGGGAACAACAGCAUGAAUGCUGGGAGCCAUCGGAGAGGCUGGUUCUUGACGAUGUCAGGAUCCCCUCUGAAACAACGUAACCAUAAUUUCUUAGCAUCAUCAACUAUGGAGCCACUGUCUACACUUUUCUCAACUGUUUGCUUCAAUCAGGAUCCAAAUGAGUUCCAUAUAUUGUGAUUUGUCAUUAUUUCUCUUAAGCCCCUUUUAAACUAUAGAUUCCUCCUUCCUUUCUUCCUUUUUUUUUUCCUCCACCUUGCGGUUUGUGUGUUGAACUCGUAGAGGUUUGAUGAGGUGUAAAUGAGGCAAUAUGGAUAACACAACCAACAUGGUGCAGGUGAAACUCGGCCUAGAGCUGGCCGACAUGCUGACUUCGUGUGGAUGAGAGAGAGGUCCCCCUCCCUCACAAGAGGACAUGAUUGAACACCCUGGACGCUCAUCCACCUCUGGCCAUUGAUGGGAAGUAUUGGCUCCAGGGUGUGAUAAGUAGUGCUCGGUCUAAAUUCACCUGGGAGGUGGUUCCACAAUUCAAACCCUAAAAGUCAUUGGUCGGGGGGCACCUGGAUGGCUCCGUCAGUUACGCCUCUGACUUCAGCUCAGGUCAUGAUCUCGUGGAUCAUGGGUUCGAGCCCUGUGUCAGGCUCUCCGCUGCCAGCACAGAGCCCGCUGCAGAUCCUUGGUAUCCCUCUGUCUGCCACUCUGCC